RNAcentral lists this non-coding RNA (27 nucleotides) under Homo sapiens (human). Lineage: Eukaryota; Metazoa; Chordata; Mammalia; Primates; Hominidae. The record is from RNAcentral.
UCAGAGCCCAAGAGCUGUGUUCAAUCC